RNAcentral lists this unclassified non-coding RNA (451 nucleotides) under uncultured Hygrocybe. RNAcentral's name for it is "sequence contains ITS2". The stretch from base 1 to 154 matches the Rfam family "5.8S ribosomal RNA". The record is from RNAcentral. Lineage: Eukaryota; Fungi; Basidiomycota; Agaricomycetes; Agaricales; Hygrophoraceae.
AACUUUUAGCAAUGGAUCACUUGGCUCUCGCAUCGAUGAAGAACGCAGCGAAAUGCGAUACGUAAUGUGAAUUGCAGAAGUCCGUGAAUCAUCGAAUCUUUGAACGCACCUUGCGCCUCUUGGUAUUCCGAGGGGCAUGCCUGUUUGAGUGUGAUUGAAUCCUCAAAAGAGAAUCUUAACGGAUUUUCUCUUUUGGAAUUGGGGUGUGCUGGCCUUUUUGUUUGGAAAGCCCAGCUCCCCUGAAAUACAUUAGCGAUGUGACAUCCGCAUGGCACCACGCCUCUCUGGCAUUGAUAGUCUUUUCAUGCUUGAGCGUGUUUGUGCAGCUGUGGAAAGUUUCGCUCGCUCACAACUUGAUGGGUGGAAGGGUUUCCCCCAUCCUCAUGACCAAUUUAACCUCAAAUCAGGUAGGAUUACCCGCUGAACUUAAGCAUAUCAAUAAGCGGAGGCU